AAUAAUGUACAUAUUUACCAAUUCUAAAAAGUUAUGUCUUUUCAUGGACGACACAAUUUUGAAUUUACACACUAACAUAUGAACAAUGUUUGUAUCCUGCGGGUGGAGGAUGAGGUUCAUCUUCCGCACUGACGUGGCCCAAUGACACGAUGACAGGUGUCAAAAAAAUAAUAAUAAGUAAUGCCUAUUUUCUCCGGGUUAAACCCAUUUCAACCAUCUCCAGCCUCGAGGCGAGAUUAAUCGACGAUCAAAAGCAAGCGGCGAUGGAGAUCAGGCUCCUCGCCAAGAACAAGUCAGAGAAUUGAAUCAAGAUCACUCGCGCCGGCGCGAUCAAGCCGUUGAUUUCGCUGAUCUUGUCGUCCGAUCCUCAGCUUCAAGAGUACGGCGUCACCACAAUUCUAAACCUAUCUCUCUACGACGAGAACAAGGAGUUGAUAGCUUCAUCGGGAGCGAUCAAACCACUGGUCAGAGCUCUUAAGGUCGGCACAUCAACGGCGAGAGAGAACGCUGCGUUUGCCCAUCUCAUCAAGGUCGGCACAUCAACUGAACACCAGUUGGAUCGGAGAUCGUAAGGGUUAGGGUUUGACCACCGAGACUGGGAUCGGGAGUGGGACGGCGACGGAGAGGGAGGUUGUGAUUUUUUGCGGCGGUGGCAGUUUCAAUAACGGUGGAGGUCAUUGCCUCAAUUGCGAGCAGUAUUUGAUGUUCAGGCAUCAUGGAGGUAGACAUGGAAAAUUCUGUCUCAACCUCACCUGAAGAGCCUGCAGUCGCAGCCACUAAUGGGCAAUUGAUCCAAUUUCACCACUACCCGAUCCAAUGUAAGAUCGCGUGAAUGAAAAUGGAUGGGUUGUGGGAGAAAAAAACAAAUAGAUGUAUGGGUUGUGACAGAGGAAUUGAUGAGAGGUAGAAGCAUGAUCGGCCAACGGCGAGGAGGACUCGAGCUCUGACGUGAUAGCAGAUUGGGUGUCACGGUCGGAGAGUUUACCUUCGGUUGGGUCUGUUAUGAAAUUUAGGAAAGAGAGAGAAGAGAGUAAGAAACGGGUUUAACCUGGAUAAAAUGGGCAUUGCCCAUAUUUUAUUAUUAUUUUUAUUUUGGACACUUGUCAUCGUGUCAUUGGGCCACGUCAGCGCGGAGGAUGAACCUCAUCCUCCGCCCACCUGUGUAUCACAUAAGAUCAUCAAAGCUCUAAUUUUAAGCA
Cornus florida is the source of this 1199-nucleotide long non-coding RNA. RefSeq lists it as uncharacterized. Lineage: Eukaryota; Viridiplantae; Streptophyta; Magnoliopsida; Cornales; Cornaceae. The record is from RefSeq and is a predicted model, not a curated record. The transcript is spliced from 2 exons.